AGAGUUUGAUCCUGGCUCAGAUUGAACGCUGGCGGCAUGCUUUACACAUGCAAGUCGAACGGAUUAGAGAGCUUGCUCUCUAGUUAGUGGCGAACGGGUGAGUAAUAUAUCGGAACGUACCCGGCAAUGGGGGAUAACGUAGCGAAAGUUACGCUAAUACCGCAUAUGCCCUGAGGGGGAAAGCAGGGGAUCGAAAGACCUUGCGUUGACGGAGCGGCCGAUAUCAGAUUAGCUAGUUGGUGAGGUAAAGGCUCACCAAGGCGACGAUCUGUAGCGGGUCUGAGAGGAUGAUCCGCCACACUGGGACUGAGACACGGCCCAGACUCCUACGGGAGGCAGCAGUGGGGAAUUUUGGACAAUGGGCGCAAGCCUGAUCCAGCCAUGCCGCGUGAGUGAAGAAGGCCUUCGGGUUGUAAAGCUCUUUCAGCCGGAAAGAAAACUUAGUUGCGAAUAGCAACUGAGGAUGACGGUACCGGAAGAAGAAGC
This 486-nucleotide ribosomal RNA is filed under the name uncultured beta proteobacterium. RNAcentral's name for it is "bacterial SSU rRNA". It matches the Rfam family "Bacterial small subunit ribosomal RNA", at positions 8 to 491 of the family's 1533-position model. The record is from RNAcentral. Lineage: Bacteria; Pseudomonadati; Pseudomonadota; Betaproteobacteria.